This 216-nucleotide ribosomal RNA is filed under the name Glomeromycotina sp. Its description in RNAcentral is "partial small subunit ribosomal RNA". The stretch from base 40 to 216 matches the Rfam family "Eukaryotic small subunit ribosomal RNA", at positions 686 to 864 of the family's 1831-position model. Lineage: Eukaryota; Fungi; Glomeromycota. The record is from RNAcentral.
GGGUCAGCAGGUUGGUCGUGCCACCGGUACGUACUGGUCUCACUGAUUCCUCCUUCCUGAAGAACCGUAAUGCCAUUAAUUUGGUGUUGCGGGGAAACAGGACUGUUACUUUGAAAAAAUUAGAGUGUUUAAAGCAAGCUGACGCUUGAAUACAUUAGCAUGGAAUAAUGAAAUAGGACGAUCGAUCCUAUUUUGUUGGUUUCUAGGAUUGACGUA